AUAAUGCAGGAUAAUAUUAGAAAGUUAAUAAGAAAAAAAACAAAAGCUAAAAAAAUGAAGCGUUUGUUGAGGUCAUUGGAAAAGAUCAGCAUGGCCGAGUAAAGGGAUAUGGAACUGGUGUCACCCCAAUUCAAUUAUUCGGAGUACAAGCUCAAAUUAAGAAUAUGGAGUAUGAAGGAGUAGAUCCUUCGAAAAAAAUGCGAAAGCUAUAAGCACAAGUACAAGACAUGCAAAGUAAGGGGCAAUUUCUUAUAUACCCCUGAAAAGUUUCCGACUUUUCGUUUUACCCCUCUUAGAAGGCUAAUAUUGAAAAUGCCCCUCAUACUUUCCAACCUAUUUCUAAUAUACCCUUAGAGUUAAAAUCUGUUAAGUAACACUGUUAUCUCUGUAAAGUUACUAUUUUGCCCUUUUCAAAUAUAUCCUUCCACCAUCAUUGUCUUUCUUAUUUGCCCUUAAAGUCAGGGGCACAAAAAGUAUUUCAACUUUUUGUCUUUUCCAAUAUACCCCUUUACCGUAACCAACCUUUCUUAUUUGCCCUUAAGUUAAGGGCAAAAUUGGCAUUUUAAUUUUUUUUAACUGUGAUAGAUAUUUAACUCAUGUUUAACUAAGGUUAACUUAACAGGAGAUAACUGCGGGGGUAUUUUGCAAUAACGGUGGAACAGAUAAGGGGCAUUUUAGAAAGAAAAAAAAAGUAGGUGUAGAUCAGAUAUUUCCAGACGCAUGAGGGGUAUAUAGGCAAUUAUCCCUGCAAAGUAACUAUGACUAAGUUGCUAGAGAUGCAACAAAAUUAUGAGCUGAAAUUACAAGGGAUGCAAAAGAAUUAUGAAUUACAGUUGAAAA
Molecule: long non-coding RNA, 840 nt
Filed under: Ananas comosus (pineapple)
Lineage: Eukaryota; Viridiplantae; Streptophyta; Magnoliopsida; Poales; Bromeliaceae
Description: long non-coding RNA (ACOM_LNC019490)
Source: RNAcentral